GAUGAACGCUAGCGACAGGCCUAACACAUGCAAGUCGAGGGGCAGCAUGAUUGAAGCUUGCUUCAAUUGAUGGCGACCGGCGCACGGGUGAGUCACACGUGUGCAACCUACCCAUCACCCGGGGAUAACUCCUGGAAACGGGAACUAACACCCGAUAGUAUUGAUGGAUCGCAUGAUCCAUUAAUUAAAACUCCGGUGGUGAUGGAUGGGCACGCGGGACAUUAGGUAGUUGGCGGGGUAACGGCCCACCAAGCCGACGAUGUCCAGGGGUCCCGGGAGGGAGGUCCCCCACACUGGAACUGAGACACGGUCCAGACUCCUACGGGAGGCAGCAGUGAGGAAUAUUGGUCAAUGGUCGAGAGACUGAACCAGCCAAGUCGCGUGAGGGAAGAAUGGUCCAUGGCCUGUAAACCUCUUUUGACGGGGACGAAUAAAGGGAACGUGUUCCCUCUUGCCGGUACCCGUCGAAUAAGCAUCGGCUAACUCCGUGCCAGCAGCCGCGGUAACACGGGGGAUGCGAGCGUUAUCCGGAUUUAUUGGGUUUAAAGGGCGCGUAGGCGGGGGAUCAAGUCAGCGGUAAAAGCCUGCAGCUUAACUGUAGCACGCCGUUGAAACUGGUUCUCUAGAGUUCGGUCAAGGGAGGCGGAACAGGUGAAGUAGCGGUGAAAUGCAUAGAUAUCACCUGGAACCCCGAUAGCGAAGGCAGCUUCCCGGCCCGAUACUGACGCUGAAGCGCGAAAGCGUGGGUAGCGAACAGGAUUAGAUACCCUGGUAGUCCACGCCGUAAACGAUGCUCACUGGUUCUCCGUGAUAGACAAUGGGGGAUCAAGCGAAAGUAUUAAGUGAGCCACCUGGGGAGUACGUCGGCAACGAUGAAACUCAAAGGAAUUGACGGGGGCCCGCACAAGCGGAGGAACAUGUGGUUUAAUUCGAUGAUACGCGAGGAACCUUACCCGGGUUUAAAUGGGAGCGGACGUGCCAGGAAACGGGCAUUUCCCUCGGGACCGCUCUCAAGGUGCUGCAUGGUUGUCGUCAGCUCGUGCCGUGAGGUGUCGGGUUAAGUCCCAUAACGAGCGCAACCCCUGCUGGUAGUUGCCACCGGUUCGGCCGGGCACUCUACCGGGACUGCCGCCGUAAGGCGCGAGGAAGGCGGGGAUGACGUCAAAUCAGCACGGCCCUUACACCCGGGGCGACACACGUGUUACAAUGGCCGGUACAGGGGGCAGCCACCUGGUGACAGGGCGCUAAUCUCCAAAGCCGGUCGUAGUUCGGACUGGAGUCUGCAACCCGACUCCACGAAGCUGGAUUCGCUAGUAAUCGCGCAUCAGCCAUGGCGCGGUGAAUACGUUCCCGGGCCUUGUACACACCGCCCGUCAAGCCAUGGAAGCCGGGAGUACCUGAAGAUCGUGACCGCGAGGAGCGAGCUAGGGUAAUACCGGUAACUGGGGCUA
Molecule: ribosomal RNA, 1451 nt
Filed under: uncultured bacterium
Lineage: Bacteria
Description: bacterial SSU rRNA
Rfam family: Bacterial small subunit ribosomal RNA
Source: RNAcentral